This 384-nucleotide unclassified non-coding RNA is filed under the name Hevea brasiliensis (rubber tree). The record is from RNAcentral. Lineage: Eukaryota; Viridiplantae; Streptophyta; Magnoliopsida; Malpighiales; Euphorbiaceae.
GCCACACUGGGUUCGGAAGAGACCUUACAAGCUGUGCUCAAAUCCAGUUCAGCUCGCCCAGUAAUAGGUCUAUGAAUCACCAACCAAAAAACAAACAGAAGAAAAGACUUCAAUUCUAGCCAAGCCAUCUUUGACUGACCUAGUUGAUCAAGCAAAUAUGUAUUCCAUCAACAAUAUUUAAAAAAAAAAGGCAACUAUUUUGGCAAAAAAGAUAGAACAGAAAAGGAAUAGAAGUUGCUUGCUAAUGCUAACAUUAAAGAUUCUCAAAAAAACCAUGAUAGGUAGAGAGAAAAUGAAAUAAAAGGUCAAUAAGACAAAAUCUUAGGCACACUCCCUCAUUAGUCACUAUCUCUGAACAUGAAAGCUCACUCUUCAUCUUCUUCA